UUUCUUUCCGUAAAAAGAAGAAGAAAGAAAACCCCUCUUGUCCACUGCAUAUUGCUCCUAAAGGAGGACCCCCAAACCCUAGCUUUAUCAAGGAUCCCGUCCCAAGCGGCGGCGGCGCAUAGAGAUGAAGCGCAAGAACAAGGAGCAGAGGAGGGCAGAUGGAAUCACCGAUAGAGGCAGUGAUUCGCUGGAGACCAUGCGGCCGAACAAGAAGCAGAGGUUGGGCGGUGGCAGCGGUAGCGAUGAGGAGACCUCGCCCUACCUGGUGGUAGGUCAUGGGAGCGUGAGCCCUGCCUUCUCCGUGUUCAAGGUGGAACCCUACACCGACGGCGGCGGCGACACCCCGGUGAGCAUCCCGCGCCGCCUCGCCCGCCUCAAAUGCAAACACAACAUGUCUUUCGUCCCUUUGAGAUUGAAGGACCGCCGGUGGAUCGUCGGCGUCGGCGGCAGCUCAACCGAGAACUACUACGGCCCGGGGACCAUCAUUUUCGACACCGAGAAGCAGUUGGUGAUCCGGGGACCGGAACCUAAGUCGAUCAAGAGCCACCCGAUCCUGCUACCCAUCGACCAGAAGAUCUACGCCCUUUCCCGAAGCCCCUCAGUGAAGGGACCGCUCGAUUACUUGCCCUGGUUCGAGGUCCUCGAUCUCUCCCAGGCACAGGAAGUUGACGGCUGUCUAACCAACUGCAAGUGGAGCUCCCUGCAGCGGCCGCCCUUCUUUCCCUGGGAGCUCACCCCACGGCAGUACUUAUGUCCACCGAGGGUUGCCGUCGAGUCAUACGUCGCCGUGGGCUCCCACAUACUGGUUUCUGUGACCGGACGGGUGGGCACGUACGCUUUUGACACGAAGGGCUCGAAGAAGUGGGUGACGGUGGAUGACGAGAACAACCUGCCGUUCAGCGAUGGUGCCAUCCCGCACGGAGGUGGGCUCUUCCUCGGCUUAUCAAGCACCACAAAGGCCAUCACUGGAUACAAGAUUAAUAUCGGCACUAGGUCACUCUCUGUUGUUGAGAUUCCUGUGGUGUCCGACUUGGAAGAUGAAGAGCUGGUCGGUCGCUCACACAAUUUUCUUUCCCUGGGGAUUGAUAGUGGCUUCUGCUUGGUGACCUGUUGGAGUGUUGACGAAUCGCCGUAUCCCCCGUAUCACCGGGCGCACAUCAGGGUGAGGACGUACAGAACAGAUGAUUUUGUGGAGUCGGAGGGAAAAUGCUUAGUCGUCUCCAAGCAGUGGAUGCAGGUUUACAAGAUCCGCGAUUUGAUCCGGACACUAGAUGCGCCAUGUCUGGUUGGUGUGGUCUACAUAUGAGUACUAAGCCUGACCUGGGAGGUUCGUAUAUGGAGAUCCUCUGAUGUCUUUGGGAGCUGCAAACAGGCUUUUCUGAUCGUGUAUUAUAUAUUUGUGCUGAAUAUCUCAUAUGCACACAGCGCUUAACCGAACUUCAGACUUAGAAAGGAGUUUUUUGUCGUUUAUGUCUAAUUUCCUUUUCCUUGUUUUCACCAUGCUAUCUGUAACAAUUCCAUGUAUGUCUCUUGGCUUGUGAAAACUUAACUUACAGUUUCCUUGUUUGAGUAAUAGACUAAAUUCUGAUAAUUGUGUAAAAGAAAAG
Molecule: ribosomal RNA, 1607 nt
Filed under: Triticum aestivum (bread wheat)
Lineage: Eukaryota; Viridiplantae; Streptophyta; Magnoliopsida; Poales; Poaceae
Description: partial small subunit ribosomal RNA
Source: RNAcentral